AGAGCAACCCCUCUGCCGUGCUGCAUGGGGUCCUCCACACCUACAGGGAUAAGGAAGUUGGGUCCGUACUCGUUGUCGCAAAAUACAUCUGACAGGCUUUGGCUGACAAUGGGCCCCACAACGACCCCUCGCCCUCCUGCACAAAUGGAGACGGAGAGACGACGCUCAAGUUCUAAGCCGGUUAACAAGUUUUGAGGUUACAACUUCACUCAUCCUAGAGAGGGAUACCACCUGUGUACCACAGGCAGUGCUCUCACCCGCUCCUUCUCCAUACUUGGCGCUGUGUGCCCACGUUACACCGUUCAUGAAGCCCAGCUCUCGGC
Long non-coding RNA from Plectropomus leopardus (leopard coralgrouper), 323 nucleotides. RefSeq lists it as uncharacterized. The record is from RefSeq and is a predicted model, not a curated record. Lineage: Eukaryota; Metazoa; Chordata; Actinopteri; Perciformes; Serranidae.